GACGAACGCUGGCGGCGUGCCUAAUACAUGCAAGUCGAACGCACAGUUUAUACCGUAGCUUGCUCCACCAUAAACUGUGAGUUGCGAACGGGUGAGUAACGCGUAGGUAACCUGCCUGGUAGCGGGGGAUAACUAUUGGAAACGAUAGCUAAUACCGCAUAAUAUUGAUUAUUGCAUGAUAAUUGAUUGAAAGAUGCUAUUGCAUCACUACCAGAUGGACCUGCGUUGUAUUAGCUAGUAGGUGAGGUAACGGCUCACCUAGGCGACGAUACAUAGCCGACCUGAGAGGGUGAUCGGCCACACUGGGACUGAGACACGGCCCAGACUCCUACGGGAGGCAGCAGUAGGGAAUCUUCGGCAAUGGACGAAAGUCUGACCGAGCAACGCCGCGUGAGUGAAGAAGGUUUUCGGAUCGUAAAGCUCUGUUGUAAGAGAAGAACGGGUGUGAGAGUGGAAAGUUCACACUGUGACGGUAUCUGACCAGAAAGGGACGGCUAACUACGUG
Molecule: ribosomal RNA, 505 nt
Filed under: uncultured bacterium
Lineage: Bacteria
Description: partial 16S ribosomal RNA
Rfam family: Bacterial small subunit ribosomal RNA
Source: RNAcentral